This 1098-nucleotide ribosomal RNA is filed under the name uncultured bacterium. RNAcentral describes it as "bacterial SSU rRNA". It matches the Rfam family "Bacterial small subunit ribosomal RNA", at positions 8 to 1103 of the family's 1533-position model. The record is from RNAcentral.
AGAGUUUGAUCAUGGCUCAGAUUGAACGCUGGCGGAAUGCUUUACACAUGCAAGUCGAACGAUGAACCUUAGCUUGCUAAGGGGAUUAGUGGCGAACGGGUGAGUAAUAUAUCGGAACGUGCCUUGUAAUGGGGGAUAACUAGUCGAAAGAUUAGCUAAUACCGCAUACGCCCUGAGGGGGAAAGUAGGGGAUCUUCGGACCUUACGUUAUAAGAGCGGCCGAUAUCUGAUUAGCUAGUUGGUGGGGUAAUGGCCUACCAAGGCUUCGAUCAGUAGCUGGUCUGAGAGGACGACCAGCCACACUGGAACUGAGACACGGUCCAGACUCCUACGGGAGGCAGCAGUGGGGAAUUUUGGACAAUGGGCGCAAGCCUGAUCCAGCCAUUCCGCGUGAGUGAAGAAGGCCUUCGGGUUGUAAAGCUCUUUCGCAAGGGAAGAAAACUUACAUUCUAAUAAAGUGUGAGGCUGACGGUACCUUGAUAAGAAGCACCGGCUAACUACGUGCCAGCAGCCGCGGUAAUACGUAGGGUGCGAGCGUUAAUCGGAAUUACUGGGCGUAAAGCGUGCGCAGGCGGUUUGGCAAGUCAGAUGUGAAAUCCCCGAGCUCAACUUGGGAACUGCGUUUGAAACUGCCAGACUAGAAUAUGUCAGAGGGGGGUAGAAUUCCACGUGUAGCAGUGAAAUGCGUAGAGAUGUGGAGGAAUACCAAUGGCGAAGGCAGCCCCCUGGGAUAAUAUUGACGCUCAUGCACGAAAGCGUGGGGAGCAAACAGGAUUAGAUACCCUGGUAGUCCACGCCCUAAACGAUGUCUACUAGUUGUUGGUGGAGUAAAAUCCAUGAGUAACGCAGCUAACGCGUGAAGUAGACCGCCUGGGGAGUACGGUCGCAAGAUUAAAACUCAAAGGAAUUGACGGGGGCCCGCACAAGCGGGUGGAUUAUGUGGAUUAAUUCGAUGCACCGCGAAAACCUUACCUGGGCUUGACAUGCCACUAACGAAGCAGAGAUGCAUUAGUGGCCGUAAGGAAAAGGAAAACAGGGCUCAUGGGUUGUCUUCACCCCUGGCUGGGAAUGUUGGGUAAAUCCCCAAAAGAGGAAACA